This 409-nucleotide ribosomal RNA is filed under the name Rhipicephalus decoloratus. RNAcentral's name for it is "partial small subunit ribosomal RNA". Lineage: Eukaryota; Metazoa; Arthropoda; Arachnida; Ixodida; Ixodidae. The record is from RNAcentral.
AACUAGGAUUAGAUACCCUAUUAUUUUAGAGCUAUAAAUUGUAAGUAAAUAAUAAUUAUGAAAGCAAAAAAUUAUGGCGGUAUUUUAAGCUUUUCAGAGGAAUUUGCUCUUUAAUGGAUAAAACACCUUAAUCUUACUUAAAUUUGUUAAAUCAGUUUGUAUACCACUAUGAAAUUAAUUAAUUAUUUUAAUUAAUAAAAUUUAUUAAUAUUUUAAAAAAAAUUAAGUCAAGGUGCAGCAAAAAUUUAAGAAUGAAGUGAAUUACAUUUCUUUUAAGAAACCAGUAAAAUUAAAAUCAUUUUUAGGAUUUGAAAGUAAAAUUAAAAUAGAAUGUUAAUUUGAAUUAAGCUCUAAAAUAUGUACAUAUCGCCCGUCACUCUUUAUUAAGAUAAGUCGUUACAUAGAUAAU